ACCGGUGACACGGGGUGCCCUGCCGGAUGCAGGGCUGAGAUCACACCCGUCGAACCUGAUCUAGCGGACGCACGGCGUCCGGGGCCUAGCGGAGGGAUGUCAGCCAUGGAACCU
RNAcentral lists this non-coding RNA (114 nucleotides) under Arthrobacter sp. RNAcentral's name for it is "TPP sequence". It matches the Rfam family "TPP riboswitch aptamer (THI element)". From Rfam's summary of the family: Vitamin B(1) in its active form thiamin pyrophosphate (TPP) is an essential coenzyme that is synthesised by coupling of pyrimidine and thiazole moieties in bacteria. Lineage: Bacteria; Bacillati; Actinomycetota; Actinomycetes; Micrococcales; Micrococcaceae. The record is from RNAcentral.